This is a long non-coding RNA of Malus domestica (apple), 994 nucleotides long. RefSeq lists it as uncharacterized. Lineage: Eukaryota; Viridiplantae; Streptophyta; Magnoliopsida; Rosales; Rosaceae. The record is from RefSeq and is a predicted model, not a curated record.
AACUACUCGGUGACGAAAAAUUUCAUUCCGCGUUCUGGUAAUCCGAGAAGAACAGUGGAAAGCGUCACAUAACCCUUUCAGAUUCCUUCCCAAAUCUAAAGCGGGAAGUAGUGGCGCCCCAAUGAAUUAUCAAAUUUGGGGCUUUAAAUAAUUAAAAAUUUAAGACUAAUAUUUAAUUGUAGACUACAAUUCACAUUCCCCUUUCUUCUCCUCUCAGCUCUCGCACCACCGUGACCCAGAAACCCUGAACCCGCCGAUCUCGUCUCUCAAUCCUUGUAUAUAUAUCUUUAGCGUGACGACACGCCAAUCCACGCCAAACACCGUAAUCGUCUCUCUCUCUGCGCCCGCUCUCUAUUGCGCCUAUCACCUCCUCGCAAUUUCUUGCUCCACGACUGAAAAACCUAGAACCCUAGAUACUCCUUUCAUCAACAACUCAAAUUCAAGGUUUAAACAAUUCAAUUUUAUCAUUCUUUUUGACAAUGGUUUUGAAUUUGCAAGUAAUUACUUCCAGAAUUAGUAAGCUAUCAGCCCUUCAGCUCCCCAUCCAUCCUCUGAGGCCUCUAAUUCGGAUGGAAUUUUAUUUCUGGACUUCUUUGGUUUUUCUUGGUAAUUUAAGGUAACUGAGCAUUGCAGGUGCAGAACUAUACAUUAUCUUAGAUAACAAUGGAUGAGAUUUUCUACAAUGCUUGAAGAAAAGAGAUUUAAACUUUUGCAGCUAUAAAUGUGUAAUGCGUUCUUCUCUCAGAUCUUUCACAGAAGUAAACUGAACAAUGCAACUGCAGCUGUAUAGCUUGAAAUGAUUCGGGGACUGGCAUCAUGGGUUUUGUGCGUUGUGGCAACAAGUUUGUAUUAGUCAAUUGAGUUGGGAGAACUGGCAACAAGUUUUUGUUAUGUUAUUAGUUUUGAAGUUACAAUUCGAGUGUAUUAGUUUGUAGGAUUUUUAUAUUAGACAUCAUGUAAAUGUAAAAUUUACCUCCAUUUGAAUUAUAAAUAA